RNAcentral lists this long non-coding RNA (478 nucleotides) under Sus scrofa (pig). Its description in RNAcentral is "lncRNA (ENSSSCG00070006350.1)". The record is from RNAcentral. Lineage: Eukaryota; Metazoa; Chordata; Mammalia; Artiodactyla; Suidae.
CUCCCCUCCCCUCCAGCAACGCGCGGCGCUCCCAUCCCCCGGCAGCCCACCAGGUGGCGCUCGCUCCCACCCGGCCGCCGCGCCGACGCCCGUGACGUCAGCCGCCCGGCUCCAUUUGAGCGCCUCUCGGCAGCCGAGAACUCGGACUUCCCGUGUGGCUCACAACAUAACUACUCGCGUUGCUUCUACAGUGGCUGUGGCUCGACCCCUAGCCUGGGAACCUCCAUAUGCCGCAGCCCCGCGGCGGCAGAUGGCACUCGUUCUGCCGCUUUUUCCUGGCUGUGUGCGAUGCCAUCGCAUAGAUGUCCCCGGGUCUGCGAAGUGCACUCACCUGUCAGUGGACCUUUAGGUGGCUUCCAGAUCUUGGCUCUGGUGAGUAGUGAGGCGACAGACAGAGGGUGCCCGGGUCUGCUUCCGGGAAAGUUUGGUCCCGGGAAAUGGAGCUGUUGGAGGCCGGCUUCGGUCUUUGUGUGGGCCG